Molecule: ribosomal RNA, 1359 nt
Filed under: Graneledone verrucosa
Lineage: Eukaryota; Metazoa; Mollusca; Cephalopoda; Octopoda; Octopodidae
Description: 16S ribosomal RNA
Rfam family: Eukaryotic large subunit ribosomal RNA (bases 650-1359)
Source: RNAcentral
AUAAUAUAUAGAUAUAUAAUUAUAUAUAUAAUUGAUAAAUAAAAAGAUUAUAGUGUAUUAGUAAAUGGUUAAGAAAAUUUUAUUUUGUUUGUACUGAAAAGGAAUAAUUUUUAUAUUAUAUUAUAGUAGAAAUUAGAUUUUGUAUCUUUUGCAUAAUGGUUUAAUAAUAUUUACAUAUUUAUAUUUGUUUCUCGAAAUAAAUGGAUUUAUUUAUUUAAAAUUUAUAUUUAUAAUAAUGAUCAAUUAUUUAUAUAUAAAAUAGUUUGUUAACGUGGUAAAGUUAUUAAUUUAAAAAUAAAUGGUAGUGAAAUGCUAUUCGAUUUUUAAGAUAGCUAGUUUAUUAUUAUUACAUUUUAGUGUUAAUUGAAGUAAAUUAUUAAGAUAAUUAAUUUUAAUUUAAAUAUUGAGGGAUAAGCUUCUUAUAUUAAGGUAAGAUUAAGUAAAAUAAGAUUAUUUAAGUUGAGUUAAUAAUUUUUCUUAUAUUUAUUAUUUAUUUUUAUUUGUUUUAAUCUUAAUUUAUAUUAAUAUAAUAAAUGAUUUAUAAUUUAUUUAAAUUUAAAUAUAAUGUUUGAAUGAGUAUUAUAUAUAGAUAUUUAUAUGUAUUUUAAUUAAAUGAUUGUUAGAAUUUUUAUAUUGUAUUUAUAUAUUUAUUGAUUAAUUAUUGUAAAGGAAUUUAGCAAAAAUUAAUUUCGCCUGUUUAUCAAAAACAUGUCUCUUUGAUAUAUAAUAAUAAGGAGUUGGGCCUGCUCGGUGAAUAUUUUUAACAGCUGCGGUAUUAUAACUGUACUAAGGUAGCAUAAUAAUUUGCCUUAUAAAUUAGGGCUAGAAUGAAUGGUUUGACGAAAAUUAUACUGUCUCUACUUUAAUUAUUAGAAAUUAAUUUUUAUAGUGAAAAAGCUUGAAUAAUUUAAAGGGACGAGAAGACCCUAUUGAGCUUUAUAUUAAAAUAUAAAUAAUUAUAAAAAUGUUAUUUAUUUUUUAUUUUUGGUUGGGGUGAUCAAGGAAUAAAUUUUUAGUAAAUAUAAUUUCCUUAUUAAUAUUAUUUGUUAGGAUAAUAAACCAAAAGUUUUGCUUAGAUGAUAAGUUACCAUAGGGAUAACAGCGUAAUUUUUUUAGAGAGUUCAUAUUAAAAAAAAAGAUUGCGACCUCGAUGUUGGAUUAAAAUAACCAUUAGGUGUAGAAGCUUUAUUAGGUAAAUCUGUUCGAUUUUUAAAAUUUUACAUGAUCUGAGUUCAAACCGGUGAGAGCCAGGUUGGUUUUUAUCUUUUAAAUUUGAUUUUUAAUUUAAUUUAGUACGAAAGGAUUGAUUAUAAUUAAUAAGAUUAUUAAAUAAAAUAAAUUUAUAAAGUUGGCAGAAAU